AUUGAACGCUGGCGGCAUGCUUUACACAUGCAAGUCGAACGGUAACAGGCCUUCGGGUGCUGACGAGUGGCGAACGGGUGAGUAAUGCAUCGGAACGUGCCCAGAGGUGGGGGAUAACGCAGCGAAAGCUGUGCUAAUACCGCAUGUGAUCUGAGGAUGAAAGCGGGGGACCAGGCAGCAAUGUUUGGCCUCGCGCCUUUGGAGCGGCCGAUGUCAGAUUAGGUAGUUGGUGGGGUAAAGGCCUACCAAGCCGACGAUCUGUAGCUGGUCUGAGAGGUCGACCAGCCCCACUGGGACUGAGACACGGCCCAGACUCCUACGGGAGGCAGCAGUGGGGAAUUUUGGACAAUGGGCGCAAGCCUGAUCCAGCAAUGCCGCGUGCGGGAAGAAGGCCUUCGGGUUGUAAACCGCUUUUGUACGGAACGAAAAGGCUCUGGCUAAUACCUGGGGCUGAUGACGGUACCGUAAGAAUAAGCACCGGCUAACUACGUG
RNAcentral lists this ribosomal RNA (492 nucleotides) under uncultured bacterium. Its description in RNAcentral is "partial 16S ribosomal RNA". It matches the Rfam family "Bacterial small subunit ribosomal RNA", at positions 30 to 507 of the family's 1533-position model. The record is from RNAcentral.